This 507-nucleotide ribosomal RNA is filed under the name uncultured bacterium. Its description in RNAcentral is "partial 16S ribosomal RNA". It matches the Rfam family "Bacterial small subunit ribosomal RNA", at positions 28 to 507 of the family's 1533-position model. The record is from RNAcentral.
GACGAACGCUGGCGGCGUGCUUAACACAUGCAAGUCGAACGGGCCUUGUCCCCUUUUUUUUGGGGGUGGGGUUAGUGGCGAACGGGUGAGUAACACGUGAGUAACCUGCCCCUCACUUCUGGAUAACCGCUUGAAAGGGUGGCUAAUACGGGGUGUUCUGGCCUGCUCGCAUGGGUGGGUUUGGAAAGAUUCGACCGGUUUUGGUUGUUUUGGUGGGGGAUGGGCUCGCGGCCUAUCAGCUUGUUGGUGGGGUGAUGGCCUGCCAAGGCUUUGACGGGUAGCCGGCCUGAGAGGGUGGGCGGUCACACUGGGACUGAGACACGGCCCAGACUCCUACGGGAGGCAGCAGUGGGGAAUAAUGCACAAUGGGCGCAAGCCUGAUGCAGCGACGCCGCGUGAGGGAUGGAGGCCUUCGGGUUGUGAACCUCUUUCGCCAGUGAAGAAGGUCCUGCUCUUUGUGGUGGGGUUGACGGUAGCUGGGUUAAUGAAGCGCCGGCUAACUACGUG